CCUCCUUUCAAGGGAGUAAUCCCGACAUUUCGAUGUUGGGAUACGGUCGAACCUGUUCGGCGGCCACGCGCAUACCAUAAAUUUCUGGCGGGAAUAACGCUAGUUCCUGCUAUUGCUGGAUGAUUAUUUUGGGCCUGUAGCUCAGGUGGUUAGAGCGCACGCCUGAUAAGCGUGAGGUCGGAAGUUCGAGUCUUCCCAGGCCCACUGUCUUUGAUAAGAUGAUCGAAUUUUCCGGCUACCCAGCUGUAGAAAUGAUGGGGCUGUAGCUCAGUUGGGAGAGCACCACACUUGCACUGUGGGGGUCGCAGGUUCGAUCCCUGUCAGCUCCACAAAAUUUCCCGCGAUAAGCGGGACGCUUUUUGACAAUUGGUCAGCGGUGAAUCGACGCUCAUUCACUGAAGAAUACAGGCAAAUGUAGGUAAAGCUACUAAGGGCAUACGGUGAAUGCCUUGGUACAUGGAGGCGAUGAAGGACGUGAUAAGCUGCGAUAAGC
RNAcentral lists this unclassified non-coding RNA (493 nucleotides) under uncultured delta proteobacterium. RNAcentral describes it as "partial 16S-23S ribosomal RNA intergenic spacer". The stretch from base 131 to 204 matches the Rfam family "tRNA". The record is from RNAcentral. Lineage: Bacteria; Deltaproteobacteria.